AGGUAGUAAUAAAAUAAAUUAAAACCUAUUUAUAACGGCGGCAUUUCAUCUUAUUAGAGGAAUCUGUUUAUUAAUAGAUAAUACACAAUAAUUUUCACUUUAAAUAAUAAUUUAUAUAUCGCCAUCUAAAGAGUUAAAUCUUUCAAGUUUACUCUAAAUAAUUAUUAAAAAGUUAGGCCAUGAUGUAGUCUACAUUAAAGAAUAAUUAUGGAUUACAUUAAAGAAAUUUAUAGAUUAAUAUAAAUAAUUUAAUUAUAAAAAAGGAUUUAAAAGUAAUAAAUUAAUAAUAUUAAUUUAUUAAUAAGAUAAUAAAUGUGC
This 318-nucleotide ribosomal RNA is filed under the name Tmarus holmbergi. Its description in RNAcentral is "partial 12S ribosomal RNA". The record is from RNAcentral. Lineage: Eukaryota; Metazoa; Arthropoda; Arachnida; Araneae; Thomisidae.